Molecule: long non-coding RNA, 834 nt
Organism: Osmia lignaria (orchard mason bee)
Lineage: Eukaryota; Metazoa; Arthropoda; Insecta; Hymenoptera; Megachilidae
Source: RefSeq, a predicted model, not a curated record
UACACCGGCGUGUGUGCAGCGGAUAUGAAGAGCUGUUACAAAAAAAAUGCAGUACCAAUACACCGGCGUGUGUGCAGCGGAUAUGAAGAGCUGUUGAAUACUGUUCCAAAAUGUAAAUAUGAAGGUAUGUAAAAGAUAAAUACGGAGAGUGAAGAGGACCGUCUAUGACGGGGGUGGUGGUGGGUAUCUUUACACUCUCCUAAUAAUUUAUACUUGCACCUACUUUUCCUUACUUUGUACGGGAAGAGUACAAUGUACGACAGCUGACCAAUAUCAAUGGUGAAAAUGCUGCUCGACGAAGAGAGAAAACCAAGCAGGUCUUCACCAUGCAAGCAUAAAGAUAAGUAAAUCACAUACAUUUACAUCUUUACUACAUGCAAAUUGAUUAGAACUCAUUCUAACUUUUUAUCUUAGCUUCUAUCACAAUUUACUGAAAUCGAAAGGGAUCACCAUUGCAAGAAGUAUUGGUGAGAAAUAGGAAACUAAUAGUGGAUUCAUCGAGCAGUAUCAAACCAGGGUAUACAGCAUGAUAGUUUAAGAGAUCCUGUAUCGUGUCAACCUAAUUUUAUACAUAAUGCUUAUUCAAUAAUUGCUUUCUGCAUAGCACGUUUAAUUAUGUUAUAAGUGUAUAGCGUUCAUAUUCUGCUGUAGUACUUUGUUAAUAAAAAAAGGCUUGUACUUCACUGGUCAGUGUUUUAAUCACUUUUUGAUAUGAAGGGUCAGAAUCUUUUGGUAAUUAUCCUUCCAUACUGAUCAUUCGCUAUUUAUGAAAUAAUCUAACCCUAACCUAACCGUUUAGUACUUUUAUAGUGUUCGUUUAGUAAUUUUAUAUAA